AAUUUUAUAUGAGAGUUUGAUCCUGGCUCAGGAUGAACGCCGGCGGUGUGCCUAAUACAUGCAAGUUGUACGCACUGGCCCAACUGAUAGAUGAUGCUUGCAUCAGCUUGACGUUGGAUUCCCAGUGAGUGGCGGACGGGUGAGUAACACGUGGGUAACCUGCCCCGGAGCGGGGGAUAACAUUU
RNAcentral lists this ribosomal RNA (185 nucleotides) under Limosilactobacillus rudii. Its description in RNAcentral is "Limosilactobacillus sp. STM3_1 partial 16S ribosomal RNA". It matches the Rfam family "Bacterial small subunit ribosomal RNA", at positions 1 to 151 of the family's 1533-position model. The record is from RNAcentral. Lineage: Bacteria; Bacillati; Bacillota; Bacilli; Lactobacillales; Lactobacillaceae.